CCUACGGGAGGCAGCAGUGAGGAAUAUUGGUCAAUGGGCGCGAGCCUGAACCAGCCAAGUAGCGUGAAGGAUGAAUGCCCUACGGGUUGUAAACUUCUUUUAUAAAGGAAUAAAGUGAGGCACGUGUGCCUUUUUGUAUGUACUUUAUGAUUAAGGAUCGGCUAACUCCGUGCCAGCAGCCGCGGUAAUACGGAGGCUCCGAGCGUUAUCCGGAUUUAUUGGGUUUAAAGGGAGCGUAGAUGGGUUGUUAAGUCAGUUGUGAAAGUUUGCGGCUCAACCGUAAAAUUGCAAUUGAUACUGGCAGUCUUGAGUACAGUAGAGGUAGGCGGAAUUCGUGGUGUAGCGGUGAAAUGCGUAGAGAUCACGAAGAACUCUGAUUGCGAAGGCAGCUUACUAAACUGCCACUGACAUUGAUGCUCGAAAGUGUGGGUAGCAAACAGGAUUAGAUACCCCUGUAGUC
This 460-nucleotide ribosomal RNA is filed under the name uncultured bacterium. RNAcentral describes it as "partial 16S ribosomal RNA". It matches the Rfam family "Bacterial small subunit ribosomal RNA", at positions 338 to 795 of the family's 1533-position model. The record is from RNAcentral.